This 579-nucleotide long non-coding RNA is filed under the name Numida meleagris (helmeted guineafowl). RNAcentral's name for it is "lncRNA (ENSNMEG00000007716.1)". Lineage: Eukaryota; Metazoa; Chordata; Aves; Galliformes; Numididae. The record is from RNAcentral.
GUGCUCUUUGAUCAGACCAAGUGACAUCACCCACAUGCUGAGUGGGAAGUGUACAGACCCAUCCUAUAGGAGCUCCACCAGCAGCUCUGAGGAGGAAGUUAUAUGUUCAGAAGGGACAUUCAUGAAGAGACCUUUCUUUAAAAAAACAACAACAACAACAACAAAAAAACCAACAACAACAACAACAAAAAACAAGAAGAAGAAGAAGAAGAAGAAAAAUAAAACAUUAACAUUUGACUUGGGAAGAAGCCAGUGUCAACAUGACCGAUGAUGGGAACACUGAUGAUGUGCUGGGUGCGUCUCCCAAAUUCUGGAACAAGUAGAAGCCUGCUAAAUGGAGCUGACAAAAGAGCCUGACAAAAGAGCUCACCUAGCAAGAAAACUCACUCCAGGGAAUUAGGAAAAAACAACAACAUAACUUGUCAGCUGAUCAUAUUCUCUUGUGUCUGCACAGAUUUCAAAUUGAAGUAGUACCAAAAUUUGCUGUUGCAAGUGAACAUUCUGGGUAUUCCUGAUAUGAAAAAGCAUGAGGAUGUUUAUUUUCCUCAGUAACAUUCCAAGCAAUUCUUUGUUCUCUUU